CCACGCUCUGGGGCGGUGUGAGCCGGAACAGUCGCUGAGCCGGGCCCCCUAGGAGACGCCCCCCCCCCGGGAGCAGCCAGAAGCCGCGAAAUGCCCUUUCACGUCUCCUGCGCUCUGGUAGAUGGGGUUGGGCGAGCCUCGCGCGGGCCAGAAGCCGCAGUGGGUGAGCGCGCGGAGAGCCUGUCUUGGGGUAGCCAAGCCAACGUGAUGAAUUGUCCCCUUUGCUCAGCAUCUUGCUUUGCAUUUCGAAGGCUAACUGUUUGUGAACUACCGUAUUCCCCUUAGGGGAAAGGGGAACUUAAGGAAAUUCCCCUGGGUAGCUUAGUGGUAGGGCAUAUGCUUUGCGUGUCGAUGGCCCCAGGUUCAAUUGUUGGCAUCUCUAGGUAGGGCUGCUGGGAAAGAUUCUUGAGAAAACUUAGCAGGUCAUGUGUAGUUAGGUAACUGGUUGAAGGGCAGGAAACAGGGUGAUAAUCAGGAAUGGAGCCAGCCGAAUGGUGGACUGUGUCCAGCUCUGCCCAGUGGCCCCUAUAGUGACUCCCCCUGUGCAUGAUGUCACAUGUACUGGGGCGUGGCCUGGAUAGAGGUCUGUAUAGCUCUUCCCCUGUCCAUUUAAGGCAGCAUUUGCUGCCUGACAGCAUUUCUUUCUUUCUCCCUACCUCACUGGAGGGAGCAAGGGAAAUAAAGGCUGCCAGGCAGCAAAUGCUGCCUUAAAUGGACAGGGGAGAGCUCACCCGGGGCUCUCUGGAGCCCGAGCCAUGCCCCCCAGCGGGAUUCAGCAGGCUUUACCAUUGGCGGCCUUUAAACCUGUUCCUUCAGUGGUUGCGCCGCCAAAUUGAGAGUUUUCUAAAUGGAGGGAGGAAAGAAGUGGUGGGGCCCAGGGAUCUCUGCUUGGACCAGUGCUUUCUAGCUUAUUCAUAAAUUAUCUAGAUGCUGGUGUAAGCAGCAAAGUGGCUAAAUUUGCAGAUGGCACUAAACUAUUUAGCGUAGUGAAAUCCACAACAGAUUGCUAAGAGCUCCAAAAGGAUCUCUCCAAACUGGGGGAGUGGGCAACAGAAUGGCAAAUGAGAUCCAAUGUUAGCAUGUGUAUAGUGAUGCAUUUUGGGACAAAAAACCCAACUUCACAUGUACACUGUUGGGGUCUCACCAGGAGAGGGAUCUUGGGAUUGCCCUCAAUUUAUGUGCCCAUCUUCAUCCACAACUUUUCACAACUCAUUCUGCUGAAAUGAGCUACUAGAAGCAGCCUUCAGGUUGUGGAGGUGAAUGGUGUGAGGUGGCCCCGGGCUUAUUUUGGGGUGUGCAGCACUAGUUCCUUAUUUAAACAUAUACUGGAUAUUCCUGCAUAUUUCUAUUGUAAACUAUUUGAGAUAGUGUUGUAAGAACAGCCCUGCUAGAUCAGGCCCAAGACCUAUCUAGUCCAGCAUCCUGUUUCACACAGUGGCCCACCGGAUGCCUCUGAGAAGCCCACAGGAAAGAGCUGAGGGCAUGCCCUUUCUCUUGCUGCUGCUCCCCUGCAACUUGUAUUGAGAAGCAUCUUGUCUGAGGUUGGAAGUGGCCUAUAGCCCUCAGAGUAGUUGCCACUGAUAGACUUGUCGUCCUUUAAUUUAUCUAAACCCGCUACUUUGGUGGGCUAGCCGCUGUUGAGCGGUGGUUCUCACAACUGGGGGAAACAGAGCUGGGCUCCCUUAGCCCGGUUUCCUCUAUUGUGUGAAAAGCCUCUAAGCGUGUAGGUGUGCUCAUGUGUUUAUGGUGUUGUAAUACACAGUGUGAUACCUCUAUCAUGUUAUAUCAUGUUUAAUCCCUGCACAGGGCAUAUAACCAAACUCCAUGCAAGAAAGACAAAUCCAUCCAACUGGCAUCAAGCCAGUUGCAAGCCUUUGGCUCAACUCCCUAGUCCAUGUACCUUGUUGUAACUAAACCUAAACAAGUAUAAAUGACACAGUCACAUAUUGUUUCCUAUUUUACCCUUGCGUCCAUUUACCUCCCCUUUCUCCAUUGUCUCCCUUACCCUUAACAUCAGUUUUGGAUUGUGAGCCCACUGGGACAGGGACCUGUCAUCUCAUGACUUGUAAAGCACCAUGUACACGGAAGAUACCAUAUAAAUUAAGAAGAAGAAUCCACACAAUGGACUGAACCAGGACAGCCUAUUUACCUAUGGUUUCACAUCCAUACAGGAGAAGAGACAACAGACAAGAUACACUAUUUCAUCAUUCUGAUUCUGAGUUGCAAAUCUCGUUUACUGUUGCAGAGGAAGAUCUUCAUUUGGUUAAAUUUUGUUCUUGCUUGCCCUAUGUGGCUUCAGAUUUCUUUUGUUUGGUCAUUAUCAUGAUAAAGGUUUUCCCCCUAGAUAACAGUAAUUUCCUACUUGAUCUAGGUUUUUGUUAUUGCAUUGUAUUUUGAGUGGGAUUCUCAUUUUACUUAUGCACAUUAAGUAUAAGAGGAUGCUAAUAUCCCCAAUACUAGAUGCCUUGCUGGUAUUGAGAUACCCAGCUUACCUCCGCCACUUAACCUUGCACUCCUCAAACACUGUUUUCUCUUUGCAGGAUAGGCUUCUCAAAGAAACUCCAGAAAACUCCUUCCUUUCUCCUUUUCUUUCUGUGAACUCAGCCCUUUACUUGGAUAAACUCUCCUUCCUCCCACACCUCAUUCUCCUGCUUCUCGUCCACCCUCAGCUUCCCCAUUCUUUUGAUCACCUGCUGUAACUUGACCAUUUCCUGAUCUUUCAUAAACUCAGGAUCCUUAAAUGGGCCCCACCCAGAUAUGCCAGGCUUUGUAGUAUGUCUGGAAUAUGUGCCCAUGCUCCCCUUAUAAUGACACAUAAUGACUUCCCUGCACGCAUCCAUCCUAUGACCUUGGCCCCACACCUCUGACAUAUUUUAACAGAGCACAUGUAGUUGAAAUUAUCAAGAGAGCCACAGCUAAAGCAAAUCCUUGGCCAAUAAUACCCCAUUGGACCCCAUCUAGAACAUAUUGGGCACAUAGCUUUCUUGGCUUUGCUAAUCUCUUGUCAAUUCUGUGGCUCCCCAGAAUUAUCCUGUCCAGGCCCUAUGCAUGCCAUAUGCCCUUUCUGGUGGCUUGUGUGUACCCUCCUCACAACCAGAACUUAAAUGUGUCAAACCCUUGCCCUUCAGAAACACAAAGAUGUGAAAUGGCUGGUGAUAAAGCAAAAGAGGUUUAGAUGUCUUUUCCCUCAGAAGCAGAAGGGUUUGCGAUUGUCUUGAGGGAGUAUACUUCAAGUUGAGAGGUUUCCUGCUCUUUUUGUUCAAAUCCUCCCUCCCCCAACCCUUUUCACUGCAUUUCAUUAACUCUGCCCACCUGGUUGUCUGUUAAGUGCCCUCUGAAUCCAUGAACAUUUCAUUCCAUUGAGUUACAUUGGGGCACUUGGGCAGGGGGCAAUCUGGCUUCCUUAGGUUUUUUCAUUCUGAUUUUUUUGAAACUGACAUAUCUGUGGGUUACUCCAAGUCUGCCAGUACCUCAUUUUCACCUGCAGGUUCUCCAAUUACGUGUCCAUAAGGAUCAUAACAUUUCCAGCUCUUUUGGAAAUAGAUAGAAGUUAAUCGGAAUGCUAGGAAAACAAAGUUUCAAGCACAGAAGUGCUCUUUUGGAUGAAGAAACCUGGCGUGUCAGCACUAGAUAAGAUUAAAAGAACAAACCCAAAACCUGUGCUUCUCUUGCCAAGAGAAGAUAGUUUGAUAAGUGUCUGUAAGUGUCCACAUGAAAGUGGAAUGAGGAAGCAACCAUGCGAUGAACCAAAUUGACAUUCCUGGAAGGAUAUCUAUGUGUUCUGUUUCCAGUAUAGCUUCAACCAUUUUCCAGUUUUAAAUAAAUACAACGAAUAAAGGCAAGCAAGUUGAGACAAAUAGAUUAAAGACAGAUCCAUCAAUGGCUGUUGGUCAUUGUAGCUGAAGAACCCUCUCUGUUGAGGGGUAGCAUACCAAUGAUUACCAGAUGCUAGAAGAUUGUUCAUGAGCCUCCUAGAUGUUGGAGAUGGACAUGGGCAUAGCAUCCAUUGGAUGAGGGGGUGCAAAUGUCCUUGGGCCCAGAGGGUCAAGAGGCUUUGCCUCUACUCUAUAACCUCUGCCUUGACUCUUCAGGUAUUUCCUGUAGCAACUAGCGAGUCAGUUCUACUUCCUUUCUCCUUGGAGAGCAGAUGGGAGCGGAGCGUCUCUCUUUUUCUCCCCUCCUAUUCACUAUGUAACUUAUAGUUAGGAUAGGUCUUUCCUGUCUCAAAUGUAGUAAACCUAAUAAAUCCUAUUUACUUUAUACUGCACUACAAUCUCCAUGCUUGUUCUUGACUAACUGCAACAACAGUAGUGCUCUGCACUACUUCGUAACUGGAGUGGGCAGCUUCCUCUUGGUGAUUUGCUAAACAAUUUGCUAAACAAAUUACAACACUAGAAGCAUCUGGUUAAGUGCUGUUGAAGGCAGGAUGUGGACUCUAGCCUGAUUCAGCUUAUGUUCCUGUCUUGUGAGGUAUCUCUAACCACUGUAUUGUGCAGACUUUCAAGGGGUUGCAUUUACUGGCAACCUGAUUUUUUUUUUCCCCAUAAGGGAAGUGGAACCAACUUCAGGCUUGGCCCACCCCCGUUUUUUAACUAACAAACUUGGUUUGCUUGAAAAAUGUAGUUUGAGUGCACAACUCUGUUUCCUGGAAUGUUGGCUGUUUCCUAGGCAAUGUUACUACAGAAUCAUUUCAAGUGAGUUUAUGAUGCCGGGAUGGGUGGGAUGGCACUGGGAAGAGAAAGUAAACUGAACCAAUUCAGCUUGAUCAAAAGAGUUUGGAAUGCUACAACAUUGAGAGGGAGAGAGCACAGGCAUAACGAUAUUGAGCAAUCCUCGGCAUAAAAUGAGAAUUGCACUGGCAGUCCUGUGAACAAACUUUGGUGGUGUCUAACUAUGCUGGGGAAGUUUUUUGUUUUUUUUUUUUUUGUUUGUUUUGAAGAAAGAAACUGUGUAAUGAAAAUGUAUUAAAACUGCUUCUUAGCAUA
Molecule: long non-coding RNA, 4985 nt
Organism: Hemicordylus capensis (graceful crag lizard)
Lineage: Eukaryota; Metazoa; Chordata; Lepidosauria; Squamata; Cordylidae
Exons: 2
Source: RefSeq, a predicted model, not a curated record